RNAcentral lists this ribosomal RNA (326 nucleotides) under uncultured bacterium. Its description in RNAcentral is "bacterial SSU rRNA". It matches the Rfam family "Bacterial small subunit ribosomal RNA", at positions 28 to 334 of the family's 1533-position model. The record is from RNAcentral.
GACGAACACUGGCGGCGUGCUUAACACAUGCAAGUCGAACGAGAAAUUAGCGAGUAGACGAUUCGUCUGAAGCAAGCUAAUGGAAAGUGGCGGACGGGUGAGUAACGCGUGAGCAAUCUGCCUUUCAGAGGGGGAUAACAGCCGGAAACGGCUGCUAAUACCGCAUGACGCAUGACUGGGGCAUCCCGGACAUGCCAAAGAUUUUAUCGCUGAAAGAUGGCCUCGCGUCUGAUUAGCUGGUUGGUGAGGUAACGGCCCACCAAGGCGACGAUCAGUAGCCGGACUGAGAGGUUGACCGGCCACAUUGGGACUGAGAUACGGCCCAG